AAAAAAUGCAUUAAAUAGAUAUGAAAAACUAUACCGACAGUAUGAUAAGAAAUAGAACAAAAAAUAAACUCUUUACUCUGCAUAUAAGAACAUAGUUUUACAGUCUGUUUUGCAACAUUUUUGGCUCAUCUUUACGUAGGCUAUUAACUAACUAUUCUUUGUUGGACUUCACGUCAUCACGUUUCAUUGUGAGGGACAGUAUUUGAUGUGUGUGUGUGUUUUCUCUACAUGUUGCAGUGCGAUUUCAAUAUCCAUGUGUGAUGAUAAGUAGCACUAUCCUUUAUUGAUUUGUCCAGCUUAAUGUGUGCUGGACUGUUUGAAAAGGGAAGUAGAGGUUAGCCUAGCUUAAAAAAAGAGAACCACAGAGUGCUGACCUGCCCGUUGCAUUUUACUGUCACUAAAGAGAGCUCAGUUUGCACGUGUACUGGAGCCAGGCAGUAGUACAGGGAAAAACAUAAAUGGAUAUGAUUCCAAAGUUUUUAUUGGUAAAAAGGAAAUGAUUUUUAAUGGAAAAAUAAUGGUACUUUUGACGUGGAUGAUCUGUAAAGGCUCAAUAAUGGCGCUAACCUUAAAAAAAGGCGCAAGAUGUUGAAAGAAACUUUUUGACUGUAUUUUUACAUAAUUUGAAUGUAGAAAUGUAUAUUUUUUGGUAUGAGAAAGAUUUAAAACGCUUUUAUUAGUAAUUAAUGAAGUUAAAUCUCUUCUUAGAAUGGUGCAUUAGGGAAACUUGAAACUAUAAUUUCACGCAGCAGUGCAGCUAAAACAUUCCACUUCUGAUUAUCUACAUUGGAUGUGCUCAUCAAUCAAGAAUAACUUUCCAAAAAUGCGCAAGCUACACUUGCAAGUUUGUAUGACAUUUGACUGUGUUUAUCUGAAGGAAAAAUGGUGUGAAAGAAGUACUUACAGUAAUUUCAUCCCCUUAUCCGUCUUGCGAUAUUCCGUUUGGUGUACUUUAGACACCCACACGUACAAUGUAGCAUCAUGCUGCAAUGCAGACUUAUUUGUCAUGGAUCCUAUUUUAGUACAUUUAAUAGAAAGACAGGCAUUUGUUUUACAUUUUAAAUACAUUUCAGUACCUGUGGAGCUGAAAUUCUAACCUCAUCCUUCUCUGCUACAUCGCCACACCAAGACACUGUCGCAGCCUUUUACGAGGUCUUGAAUGUAACGUUUUUUAUGCCGUGUGCUACAGCAAGAUUUAAGGGCUGCACAGAGUGCAGUAUUACGCCUUGCUGCUCAGCUGGCUCUGUCAGUUUAGUGAUGACAAGUUGAUUUGCUUGCAAAAUAUGCUAGCCUAGGGAAAAAAACUGACAAACUUGGAGAUUUGGUCUAUAAGUCAGUUAAUAUUUACAGUGAAUGGCCUGGCCAGGAGCCCAAUCAAGCCCAUUUCCAAGUUUUCCAAAUCCAGGCAGCAAUCACAACCGCUGAGGCGGGCUUUACGCUGCAGCUUUUAGUUUACAUUCAACAUGACGGCCACAGAAGCACAGCACCCCACUGAUGCCGCUGUUGCUGCUACGUCACCCAGAUCGUUGGUCUGAUUGGUUGAAGGACUAUCCAAUUGCACCCCCAGAGGCAUUUGAGCGGCAUCCAUUGGAAACAGGCUGUGAAUGAAGCUUGCCCAGACCCACUCAGUUACAACUGAGAAGGGUCUGGUGUCGACCAGGCUAAAAAUAUGCUUUUAAGUGUGUCAUCAUCUGAGGUACUCAUUGAUCUUUGUAUUUUAUAGAUACGUGGGAUUGUAGUUUUUUUUCACCAGUCUGGGCCUUUGUGUAAACUGUGAAGCAUUGCAACUGUUCAUUUCAUCCGCUGGGAAAAAAAGGUGAACUUGAAUUUUUGCCAAGCUGAGGUUGCUAUUUUAAUGUAAGAUGUUUCAUUGUUUUGUAGAUACAUUGAAAGAGAUCAAUGUCAAGGCUUUUACCGUUUUACCCACCCCAGCAUUACUGUUUUCGACAGUGUUUGUCAUGCACAUACAGUUUGUCUUGAGGGUGAGAGCUGUCAGGUAAAGUAGUUCUGUUCAGGGAGGAAAUGUUGUGUCAAGGAUUAAAAAUGAAAGCACACUGACAUUAUUUAUUUAUGCUGACAAAAGUAACACAUUUAGGCAAUUUGAAAUCACAGGUUUCUGUACAUAUCUCUUCAGUUGUUUCAGUGAAUACUGUAGAUUCUUAUGCUUUGAUGAGUAUUUUAGUGUUACAAUACCAAUUUUGUAAUACAGGAUUGCCAUGGAGCACCUAGGUUUUCUGUAAAAUUCAUUUUGGCAUAAAAAGUGAAUCCAUGAGCUGUAAAAUAGUGUGUCUUAAAUAAAGUGUUGGUUUAUUAUUACGUAA
This is a long non-coding RNA of Etheostoma spectabile (orangethroat darter), 2321 nucleotides long. RefSeq lists it as uncharacterized. Lineage: Eukaryota; Metazoa; Chordata; Actinopteri; Perciformes; Percidae. The transcript is spliced from 3 exons. The record is from RefSeq and is a predicted model, not a curated record.